Molecule: ribosomal RNA, 420 nt
Filed under: bacterium
Lineage: Bacteria
Description: partial 16S ribosomal RNA
Rfam family: Bacterial small subunit ribosomal RNA
Source: RNAcentral
UGGGGGAUAUUGCACAAUGGGCGAAAGCCUGAUGCAGCGACGCCGCGUGGGGGAUGAAGGCUUUCGGGUUGUAAACCUCUUUCGCUAUCGAACAAGGCCCGCUUAGGGUGGGUUGAGGGUAGGUGGAGAAGAAGCGCCGGUUAACUACGUGCCAGCAGCCGCGGUAAUACGUAGGGCGCGAGCGUUGUCCGGAAUUAUUGGGCGUAAAGGGCUUGUAGGCGGCUUGUUGCGCCUGCUGUGAAAACGCGGGGCUUAACUUCGCGCGUGCAGUGGGUACGGGCAGGCUUGAGUGUGGUAGGGGUGACUGGAAUUCCAGGUGUAGCGGUGGAAUGCGCAGAUAUCUGGAGGAACACCGAUGGCGAAGGCAGGUCACUGGGCCAUUACUGACGCUGAGGAGCGAAAGCAUGGGUAGCGAACAGG